GGUCUGGUGGUCUAGUGGUAUGAUUCUCGCUUAGGGCUCACCCUAUUCUGAUUGCGAGAGGUCCCGGGUUCAAUCCCCGGCCAGACCC
Non-coding RNA from Xylariaceae sp. FL0016, 88 nucleotides. The record is from the annotation of a GenBank genome assembly. Lineage: Eukaryota; Fungi; Ascomycota; Sordariomycetes; Xylariales; Xylariaceae.